This is a long non-coding RNA of Microplitis mediator, 503 nucleotides long. RefSeq lists it as uncharacterized. The record is from RefSeq and is a predicted model, not a curated record. The transcript is spliced from 3 exons. NCBI's taxonomy places the organism in Eukaryota, Metazoa, Arthropoda, Insecta, Hymenoptera, Braconidae.
UCAUUUUCCAUCUAUGACGCAAGUUUUGUAACAAUUAGCGACCGGUUUAUUGAUAAAACUCUAGUUUAAUUUUAUAUUGAGAACAAUCGUUGGAUAUUUAAAGUUCGCUUCUUGUUCUCAUCAAUUACAUACAAGACAAAAGCUACCAAACUCUUGAUAAGCAACAAUCGUUUUAAAAGUCAACACAAUAAAUCAAAAUGUCCAAAAUUAUUUUGCUGUUAUCGAUAUUUAUGUUAUUGUUUGGGCUUGUGGUAAACCAAGAGGACGAAGAUGAUUGCUGGGGUUUUCCAUGUGCUACCAAUUCAAAUUGCUGUGCAGGAUUCUAUUGCUCAAAUCCUUUAAGCCCGGACUCGUAUUGUCGGGACGAAUAAACAAUUCGUGAAAUCUCAAAUCGAGGCUUCAAUAAUUCAACUUUAACAUCUAUUAAGUUAUUCCUUCAAAUAAAAUUAUGUAAGACGCAUAAAUGGAAAAAUAAAUAAAAAGCAUUGCGCUAUCAAAAUAAA